AGUUACGCCUCUUUCAAGAACCAUGAGUCAUAUAGGCUCAGCAGAGUCCCAGAGGUGGAACAUGCACAGAGGUCCUAGUCUCUCCCUCAAUACUCCUGGAUCAGCUGCUUCAGUUUCCAGCCAUAGUUCUCUUCAUGAAUACAGAACACCUACAUCAUUAAGCACACCUACCAGAACCCAGACUCCUGGUCUUUUACAGUUCAUAAGUGGAUUAUCAGUUCAGUCACCUAGGCACUGAUUAAAUGUCUAUUUACACCCCUGGAUGCGUUCAUUAGUUGAGAUUUGUGCAUUAGGACUAUGAAAUUGUUGUGUGGUUUUGCCCUGAUAACAAAAAAGGCAUGUAUACAUUGUUUUACUUUUAAUGGAAGUUGAUAUUACUAUGUUGUUCUGUUAAGGAAUUAAACUGACAACUUAGUUGGA
Molecule: long non-coding RNA, 420 nt
Organism: Pundamilia nyererei
Lineage: Eukaryota; Metazoa; Chordata; Actinopteri; Cichliformes; Cichlidae
Exons: 5
Source: RefSeq, a predicted model, not a curated record